AGUCCACCAAAAGAUGUCAAACCAAAUCCAGCCUAUUGUAAAGCUCUGGGACCUCCCUUCCAAGGACACCGAACACAAGCUUAGACACCGCUGCGAAAAGCUGUCCAAAAGCGCCUGGCCGGACAGAAAUGGUUGCCGUGCAGGGAGUGUCAGCCACGUCUAGCGCACAGUCCCAGGCCCCAGGGCGAAGGCGGCCAGGGGAAAUGGGGCUCAGGGAUUGCUAAGCAAACGCAUCACUGGUGGUCUCCAGCGCCUGCGGAGGCAGUGCCUGAUGGCUGAGAAGAAUCGCAGAGGACUAGAAAAGGUUUGAGUCUGAAAUUAUCUGGCACAGAGGAUUAAAGCUCAGAAAUAAGUGAUUGCGAAACAGUUCAACUUCCCUGUUAAUGACAACAACAACAGCAACACGCUUAUUAAUUCCUAGCUGGAGCAUCAAGCUUAUGAAGAUUUCCAAGACUUUAUUGUUGACCCUUGUUGAAGAGAACUCUACUUGGCUUCUUUCCUGGCUUUCCUAAAUUGUUCACAUACAAGAUAAACUACCGUCAUUCAGACUUACAGAAGUGAGAAGACAAGCUGAACCAAAUGUAAAAUGGUAGCAAUUUACAGACAGUGUCUCCUUCUGUCGUCCAGGCUGAAGUGCAGCGGCGCGAUCUUGGCUCACUGCAACCUCCACUUCCCCAGCUCGAGUGAUUCUCCUGCCUCAGCCGCUGGAGUAGCUGGGACUACUAGGCGCGGGCAACCACACUCAGAGAAUUUUUGUAUGUUUUGUAGAGAUGAAAUUUCGUCAUGUUGUCCAAGCUAGUGGGAGCUAAAAUGGUACAAUCUUUCACUUCAGGAAGCUAACUUGGUAAUAUGUAUCAAAAGCCUUAUUUAAUGCACAUAUCCUUUGGUAUAGCAAUUUUAUUUCUGCAGGUUGAUUUUUAAAAAUUAAUUCAAGAUACAUAUCUAUUAGAAUGGCCAAAGUCCAGAACAUGACAACACCAAAUGCUGGUGAGGAUGUGGAGCAACAGGAACUCUGGUUCAUUGCUGGUGGGAAUGCAAAAGGGCACAGCCACUUUGGAAGAUAGUUUGACAGCUUCUUACAAAACUAAACAUACAUCUUACUAUAUAAUCCAACAUUUGAACUCUCUGGUGUUUACCAAAAGGAGUUGAAAACUUAUGUCCAUACAAAGACGUGCACAUGGAUGUUUAUAGCAUCUUUUAUAAUUACCAAAACUUGAAAGCAACUGAGUUGGCCUUCAUUAGAGGAAUGAAUAAACUGUGGUAUACCCAGUAAAUGAAAUAUUCAUUGCUAAAAAGAAAAAAGCUAUCAAGCCAUGAAAAGACGUGCAGGAACCUUAAAUCCAUAUUGCUAAGUGAAAGAAGCCAAUUGAAAAAGUUACGUAUUAUAUGAUUCCAAACUGUAUCACAUUCUGGAAAAGGCAAAACUAUGGAGAGAGUAAAAGGAUCAGUAGUUGCCAGAGUAUGGGGCGAGGGAAGGAUGAAUAGAUGGAGCACAGAGGAUUUUCAGGGCAGUGAAAAUACUAUAUGAUACUAUAAUGAAUGUAUGUCCAAACCCAUAGAAUGUACACCACCAAGAGUGAACCCUAAUGUAAGGUAUAGACUUUGGAUGAUAGUGGUGUAUCAAUGUAGGUUUAUCUGUUGUAAUGUAUGUACCGCUCUGGUGGGGGAUAUUGUAAUUGGGAGCCUGAACAUGUAUGACGGCAGAGGCCAUAAGGGAAAUCUCUGUACCUUCCUUUCAAUUUGGCUGUGUGCCUAACACUGCUCUAAAAAAAAAAUACAAUCUUAAAUAUAAUAAAAUUGGAUCACAUCACACACCAUAAAAAAGAAAGACAUUAAUUGAAUUUGUAUGAAGAUUAAGGUACAAGGAUGUUCAUUUUAGACCUUUAUUGGAGCAAAAAAUAUUGUAAACAACUUAGAUAUACCAUAAGAGCAGAGUUUAAUUAUGGAAUAUUUGUACAAUAGAAUAUUCCUUGCCUCCCACAUCUAAGUCAUCAGAGCAAGUUCUCCAUUACCUCCAGAAUAGAUUCUGAUUCUGUUCAAUACUCUCCAUCUCAAUGGCCACCAUUCGAGAACAAUGCCUCACCCUCCUUCAUCUGGAUACUAAACAUCUUCCUAACUGGUCAUCCUGCUCCAGCUUCUACUCCUUUGAUCCAUUCUUCACAUAGCAGUCAGAGCUGUCUACUUUGCUGCCUGGCUAGCUAGCUAACCAUUUGUUUAAAGUAUUAAAAGCACCCAUAAACCUACCACAUUAGGCCCCUACCCGUACCAUGCCCUAACUCCUCCCAUGCCAGGCAGCCAUCAACCUGAAUCCCCACUCCCUUGCUUUCCUUUUUAUAUAGUGUUAUUGUAUUUAUAAGCAUUCCUAAAUA
Long non-coding RNA from Homo sapiens (human), 2369 nucleotides. Ensembl annotates it as mitosis associated long intergenic non-coding RNA 1. Its record names the gene MALINC1. NCBI's taxonomy places the organism in Eukaryota, Metazoa, Chordata, Mammalia, Primates, Hominidae. The record is from Ensembl.